Molecule: non-coding RNA, 1045 nt
Organism: Corylus avellana
Lineage: Eukaryota; Viridiplantae; Streptophyta; Magnoliopsida; Fagales; Betulaceae
Source: RefSeq, a predicted model, not a curated record
UCCAUUUUAUUUCCCCCCAAAAUUUUCCCCAAACCAUUCUCCCUCCCAUUCUCCCUCCAAACCAACCAUUUCUCCCCCCACCGGCACCAUCGCCGGCACUGUAAUCUCCUCUCCCCACCGUUACUGCCGCCGACGACCCGAAACCCUUUCUCCCGAGAAUCACAUUUCAUUUCCCCCUUUUUUCUCCCCAACCCAUUUUCUUCCUCCACCGGCACCGUGAGUCUUCUCCUCUCCCCACCGUCACUGCUGCCGAUGAGCCCAAAACCACCCCACCGUGCGAUGACCAGCUCUACCAUGCCUGGGACCCUCACCGACCUGGCCCAUUGGCACUGCCGUUAAGGUCAACAGCGCAGACUCCGAUAUCGCCUUCAAUUGCGCCAGGCGGCCUCCACCACGCCAAGAAGGUCAAGGCCUCUUGAGACCCUCGGGCUCUUUGAGACUUUUACAAGGUUGAAAAACCAAGGCAAAGUUAGAAAGCCAUUUCAUUUUGAUUUUAUUUCCACAUCUGUCACUUUUUGCUUUGUCUAUUACGUUUCAAUUUCGUUCUCAAAUUUUUCAUGGGUUAUUUUCUAUUUCAAAUAUAAUGGUGAAAUAUUUGUCUUGGAGUUUUCUAUUGCUUAGUUCUUAUCCUUUGCCCUUCCAGAAAUCUCCUCUUCAUCAAUGUCUCUCUCAGGUACUCUCUCUUUAUCUCUCUCUCACAUUAGAUUUGACUGAUUGGUUAGCUUCUAGUGCUUGUUUUACUUAGUGACUUAUGGAGCUUUGUUGGAAAAAGAUUUGCUGAAGAAGAAAAGAAGCAUUGCCUAUUUCCUGAUGAUGUUAAAAGAUCAUGUUCUACAAUAUGGUUGAGAAAAGACAACAAUUAUUUCCUUCAUGUGACUAAACAUAAGAUUCUUUUGUUCUUCUGUUUUUAUCCCUCUUGAUUCACUAUGUAUUUGGUAGGUUGUAGGUACCUAGUGAAUUGUACAUAAAAUUGAUUAUUGGAAUGCUCCCAACUCUUGGCCUUAUGUAAAAUUAAUUAUUCUAUGUGUAAGUUUGUUUCAUCUCA